RNAcentral lists this ribosomal RNA (277 nucleotides) under uncultured bacterium. RNAcentral's name for it is "partial 16S ribosomal RNA". It matches the Rfam family "Bacterial small subunit ribosomal RNA", at positions 28 to 296 of the family's 1533-position model. The record is from RNAcentral.
GAUUAACGCUGGCGGCGUGCAUGAAACAUGCAAGUCGAGCGCGGCGCGUCGCGGGGCAACCUGCGGCGCGUCUAGCGGCGAACGGGUGAGUAACACGUGAGCAACCUACCCUCGAGUCCGGGAUAGCCCUGAGAAAUCAGGAUUAAUACCGGAUGUGGUCAGGCCGAGACAUCUCGGCGUGAGUAAAGGCGCAAGCCGCUCGAUGACGGGCUCGCGGCCUAUUAGCUAGUUGGUGGGGUAACGGCCUACCAAGGCGAUGAUGGGUAGCUGGUCUGAG